CAUUUGAAAACUAUAUGACAUUCAAAGUUCAGUUUCAUCAAGUUCUGUUGAAAGCCAGUCACACUCCCUCGUUUACAUAUUGCUUAUAUCUGCUUUCCCACUACAACGGCAAGGUUGAGUCGUUGACUUGAAAAGCUGAAAGUAUUUACUGGCUGGCCAUUUACAGAAAAAAAAAUUUCCCACUCCCGUCAUAACCAGUAAAGAUAUUUAAUGAUCUCACAUAAGAAGAAACUCAAAAGGACAGGACUCUCGGUCUCCAUCACUGAAGUUCUCUUGGCCUUUUCCUCCUGGUCACCAGAUGGCAGCUUCAGUUCAAUGAGUUACAAUCUACAUUGAAUACAGUAAAGAACAUGGAGAAAAGGCUUGCUGCGGCUUUUUUGGCCAGGAAAAAAACCAAAAAAAGCCCCCUAUGGCAGCUUCCCUUAUCCCAUUGGCCAGACCUAGGUCACAUGACAAACCCUGGGUCCCUCACUGGGAGGGGCCAAACUGCGGUAGCCCAAUGGGGCUGCAAAGGACUCACUUUUCUCGAGAAGUGGGGACAAGGGCCAUUUACACGAAGCCAGCGCCCUGGUCGCACAGAAGAAAGAGGGCAAAGGGCACGGUGUCAGCCCGAGUCACAAAGACGCCUUGCACCUCUGGGUAGACGCAGGAUCCUUUUUAGAACUCAAAUCUGAGCGCUCUUUGUUGACUUGAAUCCACUCCAGGAACGCAGGGUGUGUUUGUGAGUGACUUCCUGCAUUUAGGAUUGUUUGACCUUCCCUUCCUCCUUUAAGUUUUGCUUGGUUGGUUUGGGGCAUUGCUAUGAAUGAUGUUUCCUGGUGAAAGUCCUUCCCUGAGGCCCCACCUGUGCCUCCAGGUAGGAGAAGGGUCGAGGAGUAGGCUGGCGGCAGGAGAAUUUCCCAGGGCACCGUCACCGUCCAGCCAGCUCACAGCUGAACCCAAACAGAGGGAGCGCUCCCCAGGACGGUUAGACUGAAGUCCCGCCCAGCCUCGGAGAGAAGGGGCGAACGCCUGAACUGUUUUGUAGAAAUGCAUCCUGCAAUGCGGCUACUGUUCUACAGAGCCAGGGGGAGAGGAAGCAGAGCUUCAAGUAUCAAAUGGGAACAAUUUUGAAGGCUUCCUGCCUGUACUGUGGCAUCUGGAAAGCUGCAAACCCAGUUCCCUAGACUCCUCUGCAUCGGGGACCCACGAAUCCAUUGUGUUCACUCGGGACUCAGAGGUGGAAAUGAGCUGUGGAAGAAGGUGGCCGCAGGCUGGGAGAGUGGCCUUUUUGAAAAGCACAGAGACAAUGUAUCUGGUCUUGGGUCUUCCGGGGAAAUACAGGAUUUUUGCACAUUCAGUCUCAAACCCCAUGGGUGGCAAUUUGCAGCUGUGAGCAACAGAGGGCUCUCUGUAAACACAGUGGGCUGGAGCAUUUGGGGGCUCUGUUGACCCGAGGGUGGUCCAGUACUGUCCUGGGUCUGAGUAGCAUUCAAGCUUGGUUCUUUGGUCAUGUCCAAAAGUCCGUAAGGAACCCAAUAAAUAAACUUGAAUAGA
Molecule: long non-coding RNA, 1536 nt
Organism: Prionailurus viverrinus (fishing cat)
Lineage: Eukaryota; Metazoa; Chordata; Mammalia; Carnivora; Felidae
Exons: 2
Source: RefSeq, a predicted model, not a curated record